RNAcentral lists this ribosomal RNA (578 nucleotides) under uncultured Flavobacterium sp. RNAcentral describes it as "bacterial SSU rRNA". It matches the Rfam family "Bacterial small subunit ribosomal RNA", at positions 338 to 916 of the family's 1533-position model. Lineage: Bacteria; Pseudomonadati; Bacteroidota; Flavobacteriia; Flavobacteriales; Flavobacteriaceae. The record is from RNAcentral.
CCUACGGGAGGCAGCAGUGAGGAAUAUUGGGCAAUGGAGGAAACUCUGACCCAGCCAUGCCGCGUGCAGGAAGACGGCCCUAUGGGUUGUAAACUGCUUUUGUACGAGAAUAAACCUUUCCACGUGUGGAAAGCUGAAGGUACCGUACGAAUAAGGAUCGGCUAACUCCGUGCCAGCAGCCGCGGUAAUACGGAGGAUCCAAGCGUUAUCCGGAUUUAUUGGGUUUAAAGGGUCCGUAGGCGGGUCUUUAAGUCAGUGGUGAAAGCCUGCAGCUUAACUGUAGAAUUGCCAUUGAUACUGGAGGCCUUGAGUGUAGUAGAAGUAGGCGGAAUAAGGCAUGUAGCGGUGAAAUGCAUAGAUAUGCCUUAGAACACCGAUUGCGAAGGCAGCUUACUAUGUUACAACUGACGCUGAGGGACGAAAGCGUGGGGAGCGAACAGGAUUAGAUACCCUGGUAGUCCACGCCGUAAACGAUGAUUACUCGCUGUUAGCGAUAUACAGUUAGCGGCCAAGCGAAAGCAUUAAGUAAUCCACCUGGGGAGUACGCCGGCAACGGUGAAACUCAAAGGAAUUGACGG